AUUGAACGCUGGCGGAAUGCUUUACACAUGCAAGUCGAACGGCAGCACGGGGGCAGCCCUGGUGGCGAGUGGCGCACGGGUGAGUAAUACAUCGGAACGUAUCCUAGAGUGGGGGAUAGCCCGGCGAAAGCCGGAUUAAUACCGCAUACGCUCGAAAGAGGAAAGUGGGGGAGUCGUAAGACCUCACGCCCAAGGAGCGGCCGAUGCCGGAUUAGCUUGUUGGUGAGGUAAAAGCUCACCAAGGCGACGAUCCGUAGCUGGUCUGAGAGGACGACCAGCCACACUGGGACUGAGACACGGCCCAGACUCCUACGGGAGGCAGCAGUGGGGAAGUUUUGGACAAUGGGGGAAACCCGUGAUCCAGCCAUUCCGCGUGAGUGAAGAAGGCCUUCGGUUGUAAG
Molecule: ribosomal RNA, 401 nt
Filed under: uncultured bacterium
Lineage: Bacteria
Description: bacterial SSU rRNA
Rfam family: Bacterial small subunit ribosomal RNA
Source: RNAcentral